GAGUUUGAUCGUGGCUCAGAACGAACGCUGGCGGCAUGCCUAACACAUGCAAGUCGAACGCCCCGCAAGGGGAGGUGGCGAACGGGUGAGUAACGCGUGGGAACCUACCCAGCAGUUGGGGGAGUAAACCGCGGGGAAACUGCGGCUAAUACCGAAUACGUCCUACGGGAGAAAGAUUUAUCGCUGUUGGAGGGGCCCGCGUCGGAUUAGCUAGUUGGUGAGGUAACGGCUCACCAAGGCUGCGAUCCGUAGCUGGUCUGAGAGGAUGAUCAGCC
RNAcentral lists this ribosomal RNA (275 nucleotides) under uncultured Alphaproteobacteria bacterium. RNAcentral describes it as "partial 16S ribosomal RNA". It matches the Rfam family "Bacterial small subunit ribosomal RNA", at positions 9 to 309 of the family's 1533-position model. The record is from RNAcentral. Lineage: Bacteria; Pseudomonadati; Pseudomonadota; Alphaproteobacteria.